This is a long non-coding RNA of Neofelis nebulosa (Clouded leopard), 1923 nucleotides long. RefSeq lists it as uncharacterized. The record is from RefSeq and is a predicted model, not a curated record. The transcript is spliced from 3 exons. NCBI's taxonomy places the organism in Eukaryota, Metazoa, Chordata, Mammalia, Carnivora, Felidae.
UGAGCUGGCGAAUACUGAUAAAUGUACUUCACUGAAUGUCAGCAAAUGUCACUUGAGAAGCCAUUUGCAGCUACCAUAACAGCCUCCCAAACCCAACAAAGAGUAGCAAAAACAGGCAAAAUGAACUGGGCGUCUUGCUUCCGCAUGAAUAAGCAAUCGGCCCUCUCAGAAGUUACACCAGAAAGUUGUUAAACUUGAUAGAAGAAGCUUUCGCACCCAUACUGACGCAUGCUAUAGAUUGCUACUGAGGGUUGGAGACCUUGUGAGGACAUCAGCACCGUGGCUCAGGGAAGGACCUAAUAACCCCUUCUGUCCCAGGAUUUCUGGAAGCCAAGGCCAAGUUUUCUUCGGAAUUCGGCUGGGGUGGAGAUGGUCCCCUCUUCCUCCUGGGCUUGGCCUUUCAGGGAAGCACCUUUCUUAAAUUUUUUCUACCUUCUUAAUGCAAAAAGUCCCCCCAAAGCGGGCAGAACGCAUCACAUCCUAGCAGAAAGUCAGGCCAUAAAAAGCUGGGCAUCCAGUCGCUUGGUAAGUGCACAGGGUUUAACAAUCUCGUGUAACUGUUAUUUUUUUCCCGUGUUGAGCACUUAAAAAAAAAAAAAACUCACCUAGCAUACUUCGAAAUAACCUUUCUUACCAUGCCAAAUGUUUCAUUUCAGUGCCUGUAAUACUUACUUGUUUCCCUACCCAGUUAGGGAAAAAAAAAUUCUGCCUCGAUUUUAAGAAGAAAAAGAUCUUUAAAGUUUCUAAAUGUAAGAAUGGUUAAAAAGUUUUUUUCCCUCUCAAAUCGGCAUUCGGAAAAAUAUAUUUGUAUAUUCAUUUACGUCUGGUGUGAGAGCAGAAUUGCCGCUUUUGCUCAAAGGAAAAGGUCUUUGAAAUGACACAGAUCUAUGUGUGCGUAUUUUUAGAAUUAAGACGCUUGUAUUCAUUGUCCUGGUGGGAUUUCCUUCCAGGGGAAUCCGCAUUGGGGGAUGUAGCCCGUCUAGGGAGCAUUUAAAGAAAUUUUAAUAUCCAAACAAAAGCGGUAUUACCAUUGCUAUCCACUCCCUCCCCUAGAGGAAAAACAAUUAAUAAUUUGCAUAUGCUCCUGACACAAAUUAAAGACAAAGGGCCCCUCACUGACUGUGGUUACCACGCAGCCCUCAGCAAGCUGCACCGCCCCAGCACUGUUCUUGCUUCCAAAUGAAUAGCAUUAAGCUCGAUAACUAAAAAUAGUGGAUCUGGGCCCUCUGGCCUAUUCCCACUGUAGAAUCAUGUGUCCCCAAUCAGAAACAUCUCCCAAUCUCUCCACGAGGUUCUAGGCAAAAAGAACGUAUAGUUCCAAGGGAAAAAAAUACGUAUAUACUUUGCCCUUUUUAUUUUAAUGGCUAAACAUUGUAAUGCUAGCUAAAUAGAAAUUCUUGUCUGUUAAUAGGUUCCUUUAGUUUGUAAUAAAUAGGAAUGCUAAUGACUAAAAUUUGGUAUUUGGUAUGCAUUAGCUUUUGUGAGCUUUUCUUUACAGUCCUCAUUGACAUGCAAUAUGGCAAGCUUCCUUUGAAACAUAUUUAUAAAAUAACUACAGUAUAAUUAAACCAACAAAGCCAUCUUUUAAGUAAGCUUAAUAGCUUGGUUUUUUUUUUAUUCCCACCUCGGUAAAAAAUUAUUUUAAAAAGAAAAAUAGUUGUGCCUCAAUCCCACUGUAUAUUUUAUUCUGUGCAUCUAAUAUUUCCUUUGCAUCUACAAUCUAUGCAUAUCUAAUUCUUUUUGACAACUAUGAUUACUAAUAAAGUUCUCAUGAAAGAUAUGCUUCAUAGCUUCUUCAACAAGAAUAAUGGUUUUUUGUUAAUGGAAAUUGUAACAUAUCUUGACAGAUACAAUAUAUAAGAUGUGCUUUUUUCUUAAUUGUUAAUGUUGCUGUGCUGAACACACAGGGAGCAGAUCAACAGA